Paragonimus kellicotti is the source of this 82-nucleotide non-coding RNA. NCBI's taxonomy places the organism in Eukaryota, Metazoa, Platyhelminthes, Trematoda, Plagiorchiida, Troglotrematidae. The record is from the annotation of a GenBank genome assembly.
GGUUUCGUAUCUCAGCUGGUAGAGCGCUUGCGGCAUUUAGGACAUGCUGUUUCUGUUGCUGGUUCGAAUCCAGCCGAAACCU